This 501-nucleotide ribosomal RNA is filed under the name uncultured bacterium. RNAcentral describes it as "partial 16S ribosomal RNA". It matches the Rfam family "Bacterial small subunit ribosomal RNA", at positions 30 to 523 of the family's 1533-position model. The record is from RNAcentral.
AUUGAACGCUGGCGGCAGGCUUAACACAUGCAAGUCGAGCGGGGGAAGGUAGCUUGCUACCGGACCUAGCGGCGGACGGGUGAGUAAUGCUUAGGAAUCUGCCUAUUAGUGGGGGACAACAUCUCGAAAGGGAUGCUAAUACCGCAUACGUCCUACGGGAGAAAGCAGGGGAUCUUCGGACCUUGCGCUAAUAGAUGAGCCUAAGUCGGAUUAGCUAGGCGGUGGGGCAAAGGCCUACCAAGGCGACGAUCUGUAGCGGGUCUGAGAGGAUGAUCCGCCACACUGGGACUGAGACACGGCCCAGACUCCUACGGGAGGCAGCAGUGGGGAAUAUUGGACAAUGGGGGGAACCCUGAUCCAGCCAUGCCGCGUGUGUGAAGAAGGCCUUAUGGUUGUAAAGCACUUUAAGCGAGGAGGAGGCUACUCUAGUUAAUACCUAGGGAUAGUGGACGUUACUCGCAGAAUAAGCACCGGCUAACUCUGUGCCAGCAGCCGCCGUAA